GUUUUCAUGGUUGAAUAACAACGGUGGCUUUUCAUAUCAUUAAGUUUCGGUUAGAUUCCGGGUGAAAAUU
This 70-nucleotide transfer RNA is filed under the name Conger japonicus. RNAcentral's name for it is "tRNA-Glu". It matches the Rfam family "tRNA". Rfam says of the family: Transfer RNA (tRNA) molecules are approximately 80 nucleotides in length. Their secondary structure includes four short double-helical elements and three loops (D, anti-codon, and T loops). Lineage: Eukaryota; Metazoa; Chordata; Actinopteri; Anguilliformes; Congridae. The record is from RNAcentral.